GAACAGUCAAUCCUACUUGGAUAACUGUGGUAAUUCUAGAGCUAAUACAUGCACCCAAGCCCCGACUCGGGGGGCAACUCUCGAGAAAGGGCGCUUUUAUUAGAUCAAAACCAGUCGAGAGCUUCGGCUCUCGUUAAGUUUGGUGACUCUGGAUAACUUCACGCUGAUCGCACGGUCUUCGCACCGGCGACGAUUCUUUCAAAUGUCUGCCUUAUCAACUGUCGAUGGUAGGUUAUGCGCCUACCAUGGUUGCAACGGGUAACGGGGAAUCGGGGUUCGAUUCCGGAGAGGGAGCCUGAGAAACGGCUACCACAUCCAAGGAAGGCAGCAGGCGCGCAAAUUACCCACUCCCGGCACGGGGAGGUAGUGACGAAAAAUAACGAUACGGGACUCUUCCGAGGCCCCGUGAUUGGAAUGAGUACACUUUAAAUCCUUUAACGAGGACCCAUUGGAGGGCAAGUCUGGUGCCAGCAGCCGCGGUAACUCCAGCUCCAAUAGCGUAUAUUAAAGUUGUUGCGGUUAAAAAGCUCGUAGUCCGAGUUCUGUCUUCGGCCGAGGGGGGAUUCUGCCUACACGGUAUGAGUCUCGUUCCCUUUGGGUGUGCGGUGUCAAAGCCGUGCACUCUUAACGGUCGGACAAGUCCGUCGGAGUGUGGUUAUUGUUGGAAGGGCAACCGACCAAUGAGGCCACCGUAAUCGUUCGGGGUGCCUUUAAUCGGGUGUCUCGGGCGGCCGACAUAGUUUACUUUGAACAAAUUAGAGUGCUCAAAGCAGGUGACUACCGCCUGAAUAGUACAGCAUGGAAUGAUGAAAGAGGACCUCGGUCUGAUUUUGCUGGUCUUUAACGGUCGGGCUUCGGCCCGGCCUAUGCAGACCCGAGGUAAUGGUCAAUAGAGACGGACGGGGGCAUCCGUACUGCGGCGACAGAGGUGAAAUUCUUGGACCGCCGCAAGACGAACGACAGCGAAGGCAUUUGCCAAGAAUGUUUUCCUUGAUCAAGAACGAAAGUUAGAGGUUCGAAGGCGAUCAGAUACCGCCCUAGUUCUAACCAUAAACGAUGCCAACUUGCGAUCCGCCGGUGUUACUCCCAUGACUCGGCGGGCAGCUUCCGGGAAACCAAAGUCUUUGGGUUCCGGGGGAAGUAUGGUUGCAAAGCUGAAACUUAAAGGAAUUGACGGAAGGGCACCACCAGGAGUGGAGCCUGCGGCUUAAUUUGACCCAACACGGGAAACCUCACCAGGCCCGGACACUGGAAGGAUUGACAGAUUGAGAGCUCUUUCUUGAUUCGGUGGGUGGUGGUGCAUGGCCGUUCUUAGUUGGUGGAGCGAUUCGUCUGGUUAAUUCCGAUAACGAACGAGACUCUAGCCUGCUAAAUAGGUGCCGGGUUU
This 1387-nucleotide ribosomal RNA is filed under the name metagenome. Its description in RNAcentral is "SSU rRNA". It matches the Rfam family "Eukaryotic small subunit ribosomal RNA", at positions 123 to 1369 of the family's 1831-position model. The record is from RNAcentral.